ACGGAGGGUGCAAGCGUUAAUCGGAAUUACUGGGCGUAAAGCGUGCGUAGGCGGUCGCGUGUGUCGGAUGUGAAAGCCCCGGGCUCAACCUGGGAAUUGCAUUCGAAACUGCGUGACUAGAAUAUGGUAGAGGAAGAUGGAAUUCCACGUGUAGCGGUGAAAUGCGUAGAUAUGUGGAGGAACACCAAUGGCGAAGGCAAUCUUCUGGGCCAAUAUUGACGCUGAGGCACGAAAGCGUGGGUAGCAAACAGG
Molecule: ribosomal RNA, 252 nt
Filed under: uncultured bacterium
Lineage: Bacteria
Description: partial 16S ribosomal RNA
Rfam family: Bacterial small subunit ribosomal RNA
Source: RNAcentral